Non-coding RNA from Maylandia zebra (zebra mbuna), 248 nucleotides. The record is from RefSeq and is a predicted model, not a curated record. NCBI's taxonomy places the organism in Eukaryota, Metazoa, Chordata, Actinopteri, Cichliformes, Cichlidae.
CUUCUCUGACGUCACAUUUUCCCGUCCCCGGUGCGGCACUUUUAAAUCUCUUCAGAAUUCCCUGGACCAACCCCUGUGUUACCCGAGUGAUUGGAGUGUGAAGAGGAGCGUGAGGAGUGGAUGGAGUGUGUGUGUGCGUGACUAUCAGCGUCUUUCCCGUUCGUGUGUGGACCCCCGGAGCCCGGCUUUCCCCUCACUUUUGUAAAUAAUCACCUGGUGUAUCAUAAUAAAGACUCUUGUGCUUUCAA